UNCACAAGUAGUCUUAAAUGCUUCUCUACC
RNAcentral lists this non-coding RNA (30 nucleotides) under Mus musculus (house mouse). Lineage: Eukaryota; Metazoa; Chordata; Mammalia; Rodentia; Muridae. The record is from RNAcentral.